This 63-nucleotide transfer RNA is filed under the name Oryzias latipes (Japanese medaka). It matches the Rfam family "tRNA". Rfam says of the family: Transfer RNA (tRNA) molecules are approximately 80 nucleotides in length. Their secondary structure includes four short double-helical elements and three loops (D, anti-codon, and T loops). Further hydrogen bonds mediate the characteristic L-shaped molecular structure. tRNAs have two regions of fundamental functional importance: the anti-codon, which is responsible for specific mRNA codon recognition, and the 3' end, to which the tRNAs corresponding amino acid is attached (by aminoacyl-tRNA synthetases). tRNAs cope with the degeneracy of the genetic code in two manners: having more than one tRNA (with a specific anti-codon) for a particular amino acid; and 'wobble' base-pairing, i.e. permitting non-standard base-pairing at the 3rd anti-codon position. The record is from Rfam by way of RNAcentral. Lineage: Eukaryota; Metazoa; Chordata; Actinopteri; Beloniformes; Adrianichthyidae.
GGGGAUGUAGCUCAGUGGUAGAGCGCAUGCUUCGCAUGUAUGAGGUCAUUCCCGGCAUCUCCA